CCUCCGCGGCGCAGCAGGUUGAAAAAGAUGAAAAGAACCAACAGGAAACAGAAAGAUCCGCAGGAGGAAACACGGACACAAGAAUGAAAACUAAAAGACUAAAGUCUCUCCUCCGCGGAGCAGCAGGUUUAACAAGAUGUUUCUAGACUGGGAACCACCUCAGAAUGCAAUGCUCGUCUCAAGGAAUGUCCAGAGACGUGAAGCAACUGGUGGAAAUGAGGUGUGCUCACAAUGGUUGACUUGACCUUCAAAUGACAUCCAGAGCAGGUCCUCUCUUCAUGGAUCCACUCCACACUUUCUUGGGCUCAGUACCAGGAACAUGAAGUGUUAGCAGUACGAGAAGUCUGGCAGGACAAACGUCCCAGUGAAGAAAUGGAGACUUUGCUCUCUGAGCAUCGUCACAGCCUUGUGUCUAUUGAAGUGUGAUGGUGAGAGCACGACGUCGUUGACAGUUUGAUGGACUGAGGAAAGAGCUUCAUCUGUCCGCUGACCUCGAAUGCAGCUGUGAGGCCUUGAAGACAUGACGUGUGCUUCCAUUGGUGGACUGACUUAAUGACAUCAGAGCAGGUGCUGUGCUUUGUGGACAGACGUUGAGAUCCUGUGGUCAACCAUGAAUAUCAAGAACGUGUCAAUGUUUGUGUGAAAUUGUGUCAAUAAAUGGGAAAAAUAAA
Molecule: long non-coding RNA, 671 nt
Organism: Cottoperca gobio
Lineage: Eukaryota; Metazoa; Chordata; Actinopteri; Perciformes; Bovichtidae
Exons: 12
Source: RefSeq, a predicted model, not a curated record